GCCACAAGUCUCUAUGAUCAGUCAUCGGUUGAAUCAUUCAACCAUUUUGAUUCACUAUUUUGGGGACAGUAUACUACUCUUCCAUCAUCUUCCAUCAAAAAGGUUUCUUUCAAAAACUUCAUUUUCACUGGCAGAGUAAAAAAGACAGCUGAUAAUAUCUAAACUGUUUUUCUAGACUAGUGGGGACUUAAACCUGAAUACGCACCAACUCAUGGAGACUCCAGACAGUGCACAUUCUAAAUGGGUGCUCUUCGAGGAGGGCAUCCUAGUGAGCAAUCAUCAGGGAUUGGGUCCCACGUCUGCCUCGGCAGAGCGAUGCUGCGGCUGUGGUUAUGGAGAUCACAAAUGGAUCUGGUGGAGGAGUUCUGCCAAAUGUGUCUCAAUGGGUCCUGCUGACUGUUGGAAGAGGCUACAUUAUACAGUUUGAUUCUCAUCCGCCUCAAUUCAACAGGGUAAUUUCCAACUGUGGUGGGCCCCGAGCAAUAGAACAGGACGUAACCUAGAGACAUUUUGCAUAACACAAAUAUAGUGCAUGUGGGUCAAAGACAAGACAUUUAAAAUUAAUUUUUUUUAAUUAUUUUUUACUCAUAGAAAGCAUAAAAUGCAUUAAAACUUUUGUGAAAAUGUCAAAAUAUGGAUGAAAUAAUGUUCCAUUGUCAUUUAGUGUAAUGUAAAAAUGAAACAAUAUACAUAUUCUGACCAGUGUUUAUUAAAAUAUAUAAAAGAAAAUGUGAUCAUGUUAAAUUGUAUUA
Long non-coding RNA from Carassius gibelio (silver crucian carp), 752 nucleotides. RefSeq lists it as uncharacterized. The record is from RefSeq and is a predicted model, not a curated record. Lineage: Eukaryota; Metazoa; Chordata; Actinopteri; Cypriniformes; Cyprinidae. The transcript is spliced from 3 exons.